Molecule: ribosomal RNA, 480 nt
Filed under: uncultured bacterium
Lineage: Bacteria
Description: bacterial SSU rRNA
Rfam family: Bacterial small subunit ribosomal RNA
Source: RNAcentral
AGGGUUCGAUUCUGGCUCAGGAUUAACGGCUGGCGGCAUGCCUAAUACAUGCAAGUCGAAUGAGAAGCUUGCUUCUCAUGGCGAACGGGUGAGUAACACGUAGGUAACCUGCCUUACACUCGAGGAUAACCGUUGGAAACGACGGAUAAUACUGGAUAGGACAAAGAUUCGCAUGAAUCGUUGUUUAAAAGUAAUGGUGUAUGAGGGGCCUGCGGUGCAUUAGCUAGUUGGUGAGGUAACGGCUCACCAAGGCGAUGAUGCAUAGCUGGACUGAGAGGUUGAACAGCCACAAUGGGACUGAGAACGGCCCAUACUCCUACGGGAGGCAGCAGUAGGGAAUUUUCGGCAAUGGGGGAAACCCUGAACCCGAGCAAUGCCGCGUGAACGAUGAAGUAUUUCGGUAUGUAAAGUUCUUUUAUUAGGAAAGAUAGUGACGGUACCUAAUGAAUAAGCUCCGGCUAACUACGUGCCAGCAGCAGC